Molecule: ribosomal RNA, 1227 nt
Filed under: Pselaphinae sp. 12 EF-2015
Lineage: Eukaryota; Metazoa; Arthropoda; Insecta; Coleoptera; Staphylinidae
Description: 16S ribosomal RNA
Rfam family: Archaeal large subunit ribosomal RNA (bases 1017-1175)
Source: RNAcentral
AAUUUUAUUAAAAUUUAUUAAGAAAAAUAAUUUAUAGUUUUAUUAUUAUUUAAAGAAAAAAUUAUUUUUAUUAUAGUUUAUUUGUACUGUAAAGGAAUUAUUUUAUUAUAUUUAAAAAUAAAUUUAAUUUAUUGUACCUUGUGUAUCAGGGUUUAUUAAUUAUAAAAUUAAAAAUUUAAUUAUUUCGAUUUUAAAAGAGUAAAAAAAAUAUAAAUUUUAUUGUUAAAUAAAUAUUUAUAAUAUUUUUUUUGUAAUGAAAUGUUAUUCGUUUUUAAAUAUAUCUAAUUUUUAAAGAAAUAAAUUUAAUUUAUUAAUUUUUAUAUAAUUUUAUAUUUUAUUACUAUAUUAAAAAUUAAAAAUGAUUUAAGGGAAAAGCUUUAAAUUAAAAAUUUUCUAAUAAUUAAUUUUUAAUUAAAAUAUAUAAAAUUAAAAAUUUUUAUUAUCAAUAAUUUGUUAUAAUAAAUUUUAUUUUAAAAAUUUUUUUUAUUUAUUAGAAAUAAUUUAUUUAAAUAUUUUAUUUAAUUUAAUUAUAAAAAUAAUAAUGGUAAAAUUAGUAUAAUAUAAUAUUUUUAUAAAAAAAUAAAUUAAGAUAAUUAAAAGGAAUUCGGCAAAUAAUUUUCCGCCUGUUUAUUAAAAACAUGUCUUUUUGAUUAUAAUUUAAAGUCUAAUCUGCCCAAUGAAAUUUAAAAGGCCGCAGUAAUUUGACUGUGCAAAGGUAGCAUAAUAAUUAGUUUUUUAAUUGAAAGCUGGAAUGAAUGAUUGGACGAGAAAAUUUCUGUCUCUUAAUUAAUAAAGAAUUUAAUUUUUAAGUUAAAAAGCUUAAUUAAUUUUAAAAGACGAGAAGACCCUAUAGAGUUUUAUAUUAAUUUUUUUAAAAAUUUUUAGUAUAUUUUUUUUUAAUAAAUAUUAAUAUUUUAUUGGGGUGAUAAAAAAAUUAUUUAACUUUUUUAUUAUAAAACCAAUUAUAAUUGAUUUUUUGAUCCUUAAAAAAGAUUAUUAGAAAAAAUUACCUUAGGGAUAACAGCGUAAUUUUUUUGGAGAGUUCAUAUUAAUAGAAAAGAUUGCGACCUCGAUGUUGGAUUAAGAUAAAAAUUUAAUGUAGAAGUUAAAUUAUUGAGUCUGUUCGACUUUUUAAAUCUUACAUGAUCUGAGUUUAAACCGGUGUGAGCCAGGUUGGUUUCUAUCUUUAAUCUAUAAAAAAAUUUUAGUACGAAAGGACCAAAUUUU